GGAUGCUUGCAUCCGCUGACGAGUGGCGCACGGGUGCGUAACGCGUAUAGAACCUACCCUUUACAGGGGGAUAGCCCGGAGAAAUUCGGAUUAAUACCCCAUGGUAAUGCUUCGGGGCAUCCUGAAGUGUUUAAAGUUUCGGCGGUAAAGGAUGGCUAUGCGUCUUAUUAGCUAGUAGGUGAGGUAACGGCUCACCUAGGCUACGAUAAGUAGGGGCCCUGAGAGGGGGAUCCCCCACACUGGUACUGAGACACGGACCAGACUCCUACGGGAGGCAGCAGUGAGGAAUAUUGGACAAUGGUCGAGAGACUGAUCCAGCCAUGCCGCGUGCAGGAAGACGGCCCUAUGGGUUGUAAACUGCUUUUUUACGGGAAGAAUAAUGCCCACGUGUGGGCAGAUGACGGUACCGUAGGAAUAAGGACCGGCUAACUCCGUGCCAGCAGCCGCGGUAAUACGGAGGGUCCGAGCGUUAUCCGGAAUCAUUGGGUUUAAAGGGUCCGCAGGCGGGUCAGUAAGUCAGGGGUGAAAGUUUGCGGCUUAACCGUAAAAUUGCCUUUGAUACUGCUGGUCUUGAGUUGCGGUGAAGUGGCUGGAAUAUGUGGUGUAGCGGUGAAAUGCAUAGAUAUCACUUAGAACACCGAUUGCGAAGGCAGGUCACUAACCGCCGACUGACGCUGAUGGACGAAAGCGUGGGGAGCGAACGGGAUUAGAUACCCCGGUAGUCCACGCCGUAAACGAUGGACACUAGCUGUCGGGCCGAUUUAGGUUCGGUGGCCAAGCGAAAGUGAUAAGUGUCCCACCUGGGGAGUACGUCGGCAACGAUGAAACUCAAAGGAAUUGACGGGGGCCCGCACAAGCGGUGGAGCAUG
RNAcentral lists this ribosomal RNA (869 nucleotides) under uncultured bacterium. RNAcentral's name for it is "bacterial SSU rRNA". It matches the Rfam family "Bacterial small subunit ribosomal RNA", at positions 74 to 941 of the family's 1533-position model. The record is from RNAcentral.